AUAUGAUCAGAAGAGAGGGACCUUUUGGAAAGUAAUGGCAGCGUCAACUUCAGGAAUUACUACAAUUGCAAACACUUACUGGGACCUUGUCAUAGAUUGGGGUCUGUUGCAAAGGAAUUCCAAAAACCCCUGGUUGAGAGACAAGCUACUUGUUCCACACAAGAUUGUCUACUUUGUUGCCAUUGUUCUUGACAUUAUUCUGAGACUAGUAUGGAUGCAGUUGGUUCUAGAUUUUCAAGAACUACCUCAUCUGCACAAGAAAGCUUUUCUUGCAAUUGUUGCCUGUUUGGAAAUCCUUCGCCGAGGCUUGUGGAACUUUUUCAGGUUG
Molecule: unclassified non-coding RNA, 328 nt
Filed under: Hevea brasiliensis (rubber tree)
Lineage: Eukaryota; Viridiplantae; Streptophyta; Magnoliopsida; Malpighiales; Euphorbiaceae
Source: RNAcentral